RNAcentral lists this ribosomal RNA (492 nucleotides) under uncultured bacterium. Its description in RNAcentral is "partial 16S ribosomal RNA". It matches the Rfam family "Bacterial small subunit ribosomal RNA", at positions 29 to 507 of the family's 1533-position model. The record is from RNAcentral.
AGUGAACGCUGGCGGUAGGCCUAACACAUGCAAGUCGAACGGCAGCACAGUAAGAGCUUGCUCUUACGGGUGGCGAGUGGCGGACGGGUGAGGAAUACAUCGGAAUCUACUUUUUCGUGGGGGAUAACGUAGGGAAACUUACGCUAAUACCGCAUACGACCUACGGUUGAAAGCAGGGGAUCUUCGGACCUUGCGCGAUUGAAUGAGCCGAUGUCGGAUUAGCUAGUUGGCGGGGUAAAGGCCCACCAAGGCGACGAUCCGUAGCUGGUCUGAGAGGAUGAUCAGCGACACUGGAACUGAGACACGGUCAAGACUCCUACGGGAGGCAGCAGUGGGGAAUAUUGGACAAUGGGCGCAAGCCUGAUCCAGCCAUACCGCGUGGGUGAAGAAGGCCUUCGGGUUGUAAAGCCCUUUUGUUGGGAAAGAAAAGCAGCAGGUUAAUACCACGCUGUUCUGACGGUACCCAAAGAAUAAGCACCGGCCAACUUCGUG